Molecule: microRNA precursor, 93 nt
Filed under: Pelobates cultripes (western spadefoot toad)
Lineage: Eukaryota; Metazoa; Chordata; Amphibia; Anura; Pelobatidae
Source: RNAcentral
CUCCAGAUGUUGCUGAACUACAACUCCCAUGAUUCUUUGAAUUACAUAGCUAGCCAGAGAUUCAUGGGAGUUGUAGUUCAGCAACAUCUGGAG